UACGGGAGGCAGCAGUGGGGAAUAUUGCACAAUGGGCGCAAGCCUGAUGCAGCCAUGCCGCGUGUAUGAAGAAGGCCUUCGGGUUGUAAAGUACUUUCAGUCGUGAGGAAGGUGUUAAGGUUAAUAACCUUAGCAAUUGACGUUAGCGACAGAAGAAGCACCGGCUAACUCCGUGCCAACAGCCGCGGUAAUACGGAGGGUGCGAGCGUUAAUCGGAAUUACUGGGCGUAAAGGGCACGCAGGCGGUUAAUUAAGUUGGAUGUGAAAUCCCCGGGCUUAACCUGGGAAUGGCAUUCAAGACUGGUUAGCUAGAGUCUUGUAGAGGGGGUAGAAUUCCAUGUGUAGCGGUGAAAUGCGUAGAGAUGUGGAGGAAUACCGGUGGCGAAGGCGGCCCCUGGACAAAGACUGACGCUCAUGUGCGAAAGCGUGGGGAGCAAACAGGGAUUAGAUACC
This 453-nucleotide ribosomal RNA is filed under the name uncultured bacterium. RNAcentral's name for it is "bacterial SSU rRNA". It matches the Rfam family "Bacterial small subunit ribosomal RNA", at positions 340 to 786 of the family's 1533-position model. The record is from RNAcentral.